RNAcentral lists this ribosomal RNA (199 nucleotides) under Evadne nordmanni. Its description in RNAcentral is "partial 18S ribosomal RNA". It matches the Rfam family "Eukaryotic small subunit ribosomal RNA", at positions 1662 to 1828 of the family's 1831-position model. Lineage: Eukaryota; Metazoa; Arthropoda; Branchiopoda; Diplostraca; Podonidae. The record is from RNAcentral.
GUACACACCGCCCGUCGCUACUACCGAUUGAAUGAUUUAGUGAGGCCUUCGGACGGGCUCGUCGGGGGCCGGGUGAUGGGGAGCAAUCCCUUGAUCUUGGCCCUGAUUUACGGCGAGACUGAAAGAUGUCCGAACUUGAUCCUUUAGAGGAAGUAAAAGUCGUAACAAGGUUUCCGUAGGUGAACCUGCAGAAGGAUCA